This 489-nucleotide ribosomal RNA is filed under the name uncultured bacterium. RNAcentral's name for it is "partial 16S ribosomal RNA". It matches the Rfam family "Bacterial small subunit ribosomal RNA", at positions 30 to 506 of the family's 1533-position model. The record is from RNAcentral.
AUUGAACGCUGGCGGCAGGCCUAACACAUGCCAGUCGAACGGUAACAGGAAGAAGCUUGCUUCUUUGCUGACGAGUGGCGGACGGGUGAGUAAUGUCUGGGAAACUGCCUGAUGGAGGGGGAUAACUACUGGAAACGGUAGCUAAUACCGCAUAACGUCGCAAGACCAAAGAGGGGGACCUUCGGGCCUUUUGCCAUCGGAUGUGCCCAGAUGGGAUUAGCUAGUAGGUGGGGUAACGGCUCACCUAGGCGACGAUCCCUAGCUGGUCUGAGAGGAUGACCAGCCACACUGGAACUGAGACACGGUCCAGACUCCUACGGGAGGCAGCAGUGGGGAAUAUUGCACAAUGGGCGCAAGCCUGAUGCAGCCAUGCCGCGUGUAUGAAGAAGGCCUUCGGGUUGUAAAGUACUUUCAGCGGGGAGGAAGGGAGUAAAGUUAAUACCUUUGCUCAUUGACGUUACCCGCAGAAGAAGCACCGGCUAACUCCGU